This 213-nucleotide unclassified non-coding RNA is filed under the name Hevea brasiliensis (rubber tree). Lineage: Eukaryota; Viridiplantae; Streptophyta; Magnoliopsida; Malpighiales; Euphorbiaceae. The record is from RNAcentral.
UUGAACAAUCAAUGCGGGAUUUCUGGGAAUUCCUUCGUGCUGAUAAAGACGAAAGCAGUCUGAUCUUACAGGGUCAUCAACAAACCCAUAUUAAUCUCCAAGACCUUGUAGAUUUAGAGCUGUUGACAGAUAUUCGAACCGAUUUUCAAAAGAAGGAUAAAAAGCUUAAAGACAUAUUGAGAAGUGGAAAUUGCAUAGUGAAGAGGUUCAAGA